UUUGACUGAGUGAGAGAUUGAGACUCUGAUCUAAAGUAACAUCAUAUCCCAACAGGUCUGUGUACACUGACGACUGUCUGGGUCCCGGGAAUCUCAAGAUGGUUCAGCUGGCGCGGCAGUUUGGCUCGGCGGUGAAGUUACCAGGCAGCGGGGGGGCCGUGGUGGGUCUGUGUGUGGACGAAGCGAAACUGGUGGAGAUGAGACAAGCUUUCCAGGAGGCCGGCUGUGUCUUCUGUGUCAUCGCACCUUACAACCCAUCUGCCGGCUCUGUCGGCAGCCAACACUAACCUCACGUCUCCCCACGACUCAGUCAGGCUGCUCGGGGCCAACCCGGGGCCAUCAGUUUCUCAGAGGCCUAAUGUCAUUUCACAGGACUGAUAUUACAGCAAAGGUCAUCGUCAGUUCUGUUAAAUAUUCUAAUAAAAAUCAGGGUUUCUAUACGAUUAACUCUUUGGUGAUAGUUUGGGUUAUAAUUUAACAGAUUGAUCAAAUAAUGUUUAGUCAAACAUUAAGCACUUUGUUCCUGGAAAAUUAGUGAAUCUGCAUGUUUCAAAGUUUUGUAGCAGAUUAUGUGAGAUUACGGAUUUAUGGCUGUUUACGGUAAAGUCAGAAUGAGAAUCAGAAAAAGAUUUAUUGCCAGGUAUAGUUAACACAAUACGAGGAAUUUGUUCUGGUGGGU
This is a non-coding RNA of Plectropomus leopardus (leopard coralgrouper), 679 nucleotides long. NCBI's taxonomy places the organism in Eukaryota, Metazoa, Chordata, Actinopteri, Perciformes, Serranidae. The record is from RefSeq and is a predicted model, not a curated record.